Molecule: non-coding RNA, 27 nt
Filed under: Drosophila virilis
Lineage: Eukaryota; Metazoa; Arthropoda; Insecta; Diptera; Drosophilidae
Also listed under: 1 other name
Source: RNAcentral
UGGCCUGUGAGUGGGAAACUUACCUGC